GGUGUGGUGGCGACGGCAGGGCAGGAGAUGCUGAAGGAGAUGGGGUUUGCCCCGCAGAAUCCUGCUCCGGUUUCGGCAGCAGUGGUGAAUCCGAUUGUUUCGCCCACUGGCAGGGAGUUCUUGUCCGAUGAUGAUAAAUCUGAUCAGGGCGGAGUGAAGAAGAUGCUACCGGUGCCUGUUUCAUCACAGCAGCAGCAGAAGGUCACUCCGGUGGAUUCUCCGAUCGGCGAUCCGGUCACAAGGCCCAUAUAUUAUCAGGAUAAGCCGGCUGCAAUUGCUGCAGCCGCAGCCGUUGUUG
RNAcentral lists this unclassified non-coding RNA (298 nucleotides) under Hevea brasiliensis (rubber tree). The record is from RNAcentral. Lineage: Eukaryota; Viridiplantae; Streptophyta; Magnoliopsida; Malpighiales; Euphorbiaceae.